AGACCCGAAACCCGGUGAUCUAGCCAUGGGCAGGUUGAAGGUUGGGUAACACUAACUGGAGGACCGAACCGACUAAUGUUGAAAAAUUAGCGGAUGACCUGUGGCUGGGGGUGAAAGGCCAAUCAAACCGGGAGAUAGCUGGUUCUCCCCGAAAGCUAUUUAGGUAGCGCCUCGUGAAUUCAUCUCCGGGGGUAGAGCACUGUUUCGGCUAGGGGGUCAUCCCGACUUACCAACCCGAUGCAAACUGCGAAUACCGGAGAAUGUUAUCACGGGAGACACACGGCGGGUGCUAACGUCCGUCGUGAAGAGGGAAACAACCCAGACCGCCAGCUAAGGUCCCAAAGUCAUGGUUAAGUGGGAAACGAUGUGGGAAGGCCCAGACAGCCAGGAUGUUGGCUUAGAAGCAGCCAUCAUUUAAAGAAAGCGUAAUAGCUCACUGGUCGAGUCGGCCUGCGCGGAAGAUGUAACGGGGCUAAACCAUGCACCGAAGCUGCGGCAGCGACGCUUAUGCGUUGUUGGGUAGGGGAGCGUUCUGUAAGCCUGUGAAGGUGGCCUGUGAGGGUUGCUGGAGGUAUCAGAAGUGCGAAUGCUGACAUAAGUAACGAUAAAGCGGGUGAAAAGCCCGCUCGCCGGAAGACCAAGGGUUCCUGUCCAACGUUAAUCGGGGCAGGGUGAGUCGACCCCUAAGGCGAGGCCGAAAGGCGUAGUCGAUGGGAAACGGGUUAAUAUUCCCGUACUUGGUGUUACUGCGAAGGGGGGACGGAGAAGGCUAUGUUGGCCGGGCGACGGUUGUCCCGGUUUAAGCGUGUAGGUGUGUGUUCCAGGUAAAUCCGGUU
Molecule: ribosomal RNA, 836 nt
Filed under: Salmonella enterica
Lineage: Bacteria; Pseudomonadati; Pseudomonadota; Gammaproteobacteria; Enterobacterales; Enterobacteriaceae
Also listed under: 1 other name
Description: partial 23S ribosomal RNA
Rfam family: Bacterial large subunit ribosomal RNA
Source: RNAcentral